GCCUCAGAAAAAUCACAAAAACAUGCUAAUACCUCAUGUUCAAACAGAUCAACAAUAUCCCAACAAUCAAUCAAUCAAAAUCUGUUAUUACUGAUAUUGUGAGUGUGUGCUCAACAACCAUGCUAACCAAUGACAAGCAAAAAUCUGAAAGAUAAUAAAGUUCCUAAUAAGCGUCAUACAGUUCAACUCAAGAACUCAUUAAAUAAACUAAAUUCAACUGAAAUUAAACAAUCACCAAAAUUCAGGAUUCAACAUGGAAUACUUAUGCUUAUUUU
RNAcentral lists this long non-coding RNA (275 nucleotides) under Panax ginseng (ginseng). RNAcentral describes it as "long non-coding RNA (PGIN_LNC002455)". Lineage: Eukaryota; Viridiplantae; Streptophyta; Magnoliopsida; Apiales; Araliaceae. The record is from RNAcentral.